AGUUCUCUCGCGACCUCUAGCCACUUCCGGUUGCUAACGGUUCCCAAACAGCCCCCGAAAACGCUACGUGAGUUGGGCCCUGGGCCAGAGGCAGAAAACGGACGGAAGAAAAGGUCUGGCCGGAGAUGGGUCUCACUCUGUCACCCAGACUGGAGUGCAGUGAGUGGUGCGAUCAUAGCUCACUGCAGCCUGAAACUCCUGGGCUCAAGUGAUCCUCUCGCCUCAGCCUCCUGAGUAGCUGGAGCUACAGGUGUGAGCUACCCAGCAUGGCUCAUUUGAGAUUUCUGAGUAGAGAAGUAACAUGAUUAAACUUGGGUAUUGAAAUUAUUAUUUUGGCUGCUAUGUUAACAGUAGACUUGAAUGUGAAGGGGUUGGGCAAGGGCAAAAGCAGGGAGACAGGUUGGAAAGCUGGAAUGGGAAGGGCCUUUUUAAGAAUAACACAAACCCCUAAAGACAUAAAACUGAAAAGGCCAUGGAGGAAAAGAUAAAUGAAACUGGCCUUGUAAAAUUGAAAUAUUUGAAUGAAAAAAGUAAAAAUAAAAUAUAAACUAAAAGUAAAAUAUGCCACACAUCUAAAAGACACAGCUGAUUUUCCUGAUAUACAAAGACCUUUUAUCUUACCAAAAAAUAAAAAUAUGAACAAGCCAAUAGAAAAAUAGACAAAGUACUUAACCUGCAUGCAUUUAUUGUCAGGCCUCUGACAAUAUGAUACUAAGCCAUCAUAGCCCCUGUGACCGCCACGUAUACAUCCAGAUGACCUGGAGCAACUGAAGAACCACAAAAGAUGGCAUUCCACCAUUGAGAUUUGUUCCUGCCCCACCCCAACUAAUCAAUCGACCUUGUGACAUUCCCCCUGCCCCCGACAGUGAGUCUCAUGAUCUCCCCACCCAGCACCUUGGCACCUUGUGACCCCCGCCCCUGCCCACAACAGAUAACCACCUUUAACUGUAAUUUUCCACUACCUACCCAAAUCCUAUAAAACUGCGCCACCCCAUCUCCCUUUGCUGACUCUCUUUUUGGACUCAGCCCACUUGCACCCAAGUGAAAUAAACAGCCUUGUUGCUCACACAAAGCCUGUUGGUGGACUCUUCACACAGACUCACGUGACAUUUAUAGAACACAAAAUUAAGAAUAAUGAAUAUGAAAAGGUUCACUAAUAAGAAUUUAAACAAAACAAGAAAGAUUUUUAAGAUUGCUAAAGACAAACGAUUUAUAAUAUUCAGUGUUAGGAGGUGUGUGGAUAUACAGGCAUACUUAGUUUUACAUUUUUAGAAGGUAAGACUUAUUUAGAAGGUAAGAAGUUGUCCAUACCCCUUGAUUCAACAACUUAGCUUCUUGGAAUUAUCCAUAUAGAAAUGCUUACAUAAAUGUUUGAACAUAUGUACAAAGAAGCACUAUUUAUUUAAAUUUGGAAACUUGAAUGCCUAACAUUUGGAAUUUAAAUUUUUAUAUGUCUAUUCAUUAAAAUACCACCCAGUUUUUAGAAACUAAGAGACGCUAAAGGUAUAUUGAGUAAAAUAAAAAGUUACAAAA
RNAcentral lists this non-coding RNA (1533 nucleotides) under Pan troglodytes (chimpanzee). The record is from RNAcentral. Lineage: Eukaryota; Metazoa; Chordata; Mammalia; Primates; Hominidae.